This 428-nucleotide ribosomal RNA is filed under the name uncultured Aquabacterium sp. RNAcentral describes it as "bacterial SSU rRNA". It matches the Rfam family "Bacterial small subunit ribosomal RNA", at positions 950 to 1382 of the family's 1533-position model. Lineage: Bacteria; Pseudomonadati; Pseudomonadota; Betaproteobacteria; Burkholderiales; Sphaerotilaceae. The record is from RNAcentral.
UUCGAUGCAACGCGAAAACCUUAACCUACCCUUGACAUGUCAAGAAUUCUGCAGAGAUGUGGAAGUGCUCGAAAGAGAACUUGAACACAGGUGCUGCAUGGCCGUCGUCAGCUCGUGUCGUGAGAUGUUGGGUUAAGUCCCGCAACGAGCGCAACCCUUGUCAUUAGUUGCUACGCAAGAGCACUCUAAUGAGACUGCCGGUGACAAACCGGAGGAAGGUGGGGAUGACGUCAGGUCCUCAUGGCCCUUAUGGGUAGGGCUACACACGUCAUACAAUGGCCGGUACAGAGGGCUGCCAACCCGCGAGGGGGAGCCAAUCCCAGAAAACCGGUCGUAGUCCGGAUCGUAGUCUGCAACUCGACUGCGUGAAGUCGGAAUCGCUAGUAAUCGCGGAUCAGCUUGCCGCGGUGAAUACGUUCCCGGGUCUU